CCUGCCCCUAAGUCUGGGAUACCAUUUGGAAACAGGUGCUAAUACCGGAUAAUAAAGCAGAUCGCAUGAUCAGCUUUUGAAAGGCGGCGUAAGCUGUCGCUAAGGGAUGGCCCCGCGGUGCAUUAGCUAGUUGGUAAGGUAACGGCUUACCAAGGCGACGAUGCAUAGCCGAGUUGAGAGACUGAUCGGCCACAUUGGGACUGAGACACGGCCCAAACUCCUACGGGAGGCAGCAGUAGGGAAUCUUCCACAAUGGACGCAAGUCUGAUGGAGCAACGCCGCGUGAGUGAAGAAGGUUUUCGGAUCGUAAAGCUCUGUUGUUGGUGAAGAAGGAUAGAGGUAGUAACUGGCCUUUAUUUGACGGUAAUCAACCAGAAAGUCACGGCUAACUACGUGCCAGCAGCCGCGGUAAUACGUAGGUGGCAAGCGUUGUCCGGAUUUAUUGGGCGUAAAGCGAGCGCAGGCGGAAAAAUAAGUCUAAUGUGAAAGCCCUCGGCUUAACCGAGGAAUUGCAUCGGAAACUGUUUUUCUUGAGUGCAGAAGAGGAGAGUGGAACUCCAUGUGUAGCGGUGGAAAUGCGUAGAUAUAUGGAAGAACACCAGUGGCGAAGGCGGCUCUCUG
Molecule: ribosomal RNA, 621 nt
Filed under: uncultured bacterium
Lineage: Bacteria
Description: bacterial SSU rRNA
Rfam family: Bacterial small subunit ribosomal RNA
Source: RNAcentral